Molecule: ribosomal RNA, 343 nt
Filed under: Staphylococcus aureus
Lineage: Bacteria; Bacillati; Bacillota; Bacilli; Caryophanales; Staphylococcaceae
Description: partial 23S ribosomal RNA
Rfam family: Bacterial large subunit ribosomal RNA
Source: RNAcentral
GUCGCCUCCUAAAAGGUAACGGAGGCGCUCAAAGGUUCCCUCAGAAUGGUUGGAAAUCAUUCAUAGAGUGUAAAGGCAUAAGGGAGCUUGACUGCGAGACCUACAAGUCGAGCAGGGUCGAAAGACGGACUUAGUGAUCCGGUGGUUCCGCAUGGAAGGGCCAUCGCUCAACGGAUAAAAGCUACCCCGGGGAUAACAGGCUUAUCUCCCCCAAGAGUUCACAUCGACGGGGAGGUUUGGCACCUCGAUGUCGGCUCAUCGCAUCCUGGGGCUGUAGUCGGUCCCAAGGGUUGGGCUGUUCGCCCAUUAAAGCGGUACGCGAGCUGGGUUCAGAACGUCGUGA